Clupea harengus (Atlantic herring) is the source of this 692-nucleotide long non-coding RNA. Lineage: Eukaryota; Metazoa; Chordata; Actinopteri; Clupeiformes; Clupeidae. The record is from Ensembl.
CUUAUAUCUUAUAUCUUAUAUCCUCCUCUCAUAAAUGUUUACAUGCACCUGAGUGUGUAUUUGUCCUCUUUGGUGCAUUCUACCUUGACCUCUGAGACGCCUCAAAGGUCAGUAUGCACAUCAGGUGAAUGCUACUGACUUUAUGCUCUUUCUCUGAGACGCCUCAAUUGUCAGUAUGCACAUCAGGUGAAUGCUACUGAGUUUAUGCUCAUUCUCUGAGACGCCUCAAUUGUCAGUAUGCACAUCAGGUGAAUGCUACUGAGUUUAUGCUCAUUCUCUGAGACGCCUCAAAGGUCAGUAUGCACAUCAGGUGAAUGCUACUGAGUUUAUGCUCAUUCUCUGAGACGCCUCAAUGGUCAGUAUGCACAUCAGGUGAAUGCUACUGAGUUUAUGCUCAUUCUCUGAGACGCCUCAAUGGUCAGUAUGCACAUCCGGCGAGUGCUACUGACUUUAUGCUCAUUCUCCGAAGCGCUCCACUAAAACCCUUAGCUCUGAGUCUGCUGUGACUCAUUGAGAUCACGGCCAGUAUACUCACUUAUCAUGUUGUAAUGAGACGAUUAAUAGCCAUGAUUCAGAUAAACUGCAUAUUCAUCUGGCCAUAUAAGGCCCUGUGCAGAGUGCCUAAGCCCUGACUACACACCUCAUGUCUGCACUGCCAUUGAUGAGUUGGAUGAGAUGGACAGCAGAUCAUA